This 860-nucleotide long non-coding RNA is filed under the name Ursus maritimus (polar bear). Its description in RNAcentral is "lncRNA (ENSUMAG00000017337.1)". Lineage: Eukaryota; Metazoa; Chordata; Mammalia; Carnivora; Ursidae. The record is from RNAcentral.
GUGUGGAAACGGAGACCCAGAGAGGAAAAAUCAGUUGAAUCUUGUCCUGCAAUUGCUUUGUGUUCCUGGCUUUGGAGAGUUCCUGGGAACCCAAGGAAAGGGCAGUGGAGAAGAACAGCAAAGAAGAAGGGGAGAGGGUGUCACGCUUCCGGUAGUCCCUUUCUCACCCCUUGUCCACCCCUGCUCCAACAUUGGAGGCAUAUUGGAGGGCCCAAAAGGCCCUUAAAGUAUUCAGUCUAGAUUCUGGAUGUUUCUCGAAGGAACAGGGCUUCCCUCCCUGAAGUCCCCACCAGCCCUGCCUUACACUCCCAAGGUUUAGGCAAGGUGCCAGAUCUACAGCCCUGGAGUCGGAGCCUGGAGCCUGGAGUCCAGAAAGAUUGCUGAGACUUUGCUGGGAAAGAGGAACAGACUUGAACUCCCGAAGCCAUGGAGGAGGGGAAAGAAGGCAUCUCAGAGGUGGCACUGCUGUGAUAUCUAUCUAUCAGCACCCAAGGAGGCCAAGGAGAAGAAACAGUGACCAGAGAGGGAGCCAGGAGGAGAUGCCUGCUCUUGAAAUAGCCUCUUUAUCCCAUCCUCUCCAGCGCCCCCUCUCACAUGCUGACAAGGCUGUGUGCCCAAGUGUGCCAGCUCUCCUGGCUGGCAAUCCUGCACUGCCGUGCAGGCAUCCAGCUCUCUGCUCCGGCACAGAGCACAUGCUGGGAUCUCUCACACUCCUUUGCUCACUCAUCUCAACAUGUCCGUGUUGCAGAUUCCUAGGGAUGAAAGAGGAAGCUGUGGCUCUGGAGACGAGACCAUCUCUGCUCCCCCAGCUCUCCCUGGCAGCAUUGGGAGCCCAGGGCCCCCUGCUGGAAUACCGAUAA